AUUCUUUUCUGGUUCAUAAACAUGAUUGGGUGUUCACACAUUUGUGUGAUAUGUGCCUCCAUUAAAUCUUGUUAUGAACUUGUCACAUUACCCAUCUAAUG
Sorex araneus (European shrew) is the source of this 101-nucleotide small nucleolar RNA. RefSeq annotates it as small nucleolar RNA U13. The transcript has a single exon. The record is from RefSeq and is a predicted model, not a curated record. Lineage: Eukaryota; Metazoa; Chordata; Mammalia; Eulipotyphla; Soricidae.